Long non-coding RNA from Sardina pilchardus (European sardine), 172 nucleotides. RefSeq lists it as uncharacterized. The transcript is spliced from 3 exons. The record is from RefSeq and is a predicted model, not a curated record. NCBI's taxonomy places the organism in Eukaryota, Metazoa, Chordata, Actinopteri, Clupeiformes, Clupeidae.
CGGGUGGACUAGUAAGUGAUCCCUCUGCUCGUACGUCCUCCUCACACUGUUCGCUGCGCGGUCGCCUUGGAAAGGUGUUUGACUGUGUACCAGACGCUUCCGGGUAGUAUAUUGUAGAUCUACCGAAGGUCUUGGCUGAAAGACGCCGUGCGAACGCUGUGCGAACGCUCUC